This is a long non-coding RNA of Olea europaea var. sylvestris, 420 nucleotides long. RefSeq lists it as uncharacterized. The record is from RefSeq and is a predicted model, not a curated record. NCBI's taxonomy places the organism in Eukaryota, Viridiplantae, Streptophyta, Magnoliopsida, Lamiales, Oleaceae. The transcript has 3 exons.
UUUCCACUCCCUCUAAAACAAAAAUCUUCACAUUCCACUCAAAUCAAAUGCUGAGGCCCUAAACCCGAAUGGCAGACCAAAGGGAUCUCUCUCAUCAAAUGUCAGUGCUGAAGCCCUAAGCCCGCCGCCAACACCAUCAAAUCUCCCACGCCAGUAGAUUAUUAGUAAUGGAGUGAAGCAUUUUGCAGUAAAUUUUGGUUUCGAAAGUUUCGGCCGAGCCCCAGGAGUAGAAAAAAAUUGUGUUUCUCCCAGAAGCCCCUCUAAAUGAAGGCUUAUUUAACCAAAGAACAAAUUGAUUGUGAGUUGGAAGCAUGUUUUGGAGUCAAGAAUGUUGUUUGGGAGUUCUGAAGGCUUAUUUAACCAAAGAACAAAUUGAUUGUGAGUUGGAAGCAAGUUUUGGAGUCAAGAAUGUUGUUUCGG